This is a non-coding RNA of Pelobates cultripes (western spadefoot toad), 310 nucleotides long. The record is from the annotation of a GenBank genome assembly. NCBI's taxonomy places the organism in Eukaryota, Metazoa, Chordata, Amphibia, Anura, Pelobatidae.
GGUAGAUAACUCCCUAAUACCGUGGGAAUUAAGGAGUUAUCUACUAAGCCGCUGCAAGAGAAGUCCCGAAGUCCCGAAAUUCCGAAGUUCUUAAAUUCCGAAGUUCCGAAGUGUCGAAGUGCCGAAGUGCCGAAGUGCCGAACCAAAGUGCUGAAGUCCAGAAUUUCAGAAUUCUGAACCGAACCGAAAAUUUUCCCCAUGCACAUGCCUAUUGUGGCAGAACCAGCCUCGCCACAGGGCACUGGAGAAGACUGAUUGCCAGCCUCCUGCCAUGUGACUAUGGCCCAUGGGAUGUAUUGCCUGCUCUCCU